This 255-nucleotide ribosomal RNA is filed under the name uncultured bacterium. RNAcentral's name for it is "partial 16S ribosomal RNA". It matches the Rfam family "Bacterial small subunit ribosomal RNA", at positions 524 to 776 of the family's 1533-position model. The record is from RNAcentral.
UACGAAGGGGGGCUAGCGUUGUUCGGAAUUACUGGGCGUAAAGCGCACGUAGGCGGAUGUUUAAGUUAGGGGUGAAAUCCCAGGGCUCAACCCUGGAACUGCCUCUAAUACUGGGCAUCUAGAGUCCGAGAGAGGUGAGUGGAAUUCCGAGUGUAGAGGUGAAAUUCGUAGAUAUUCGGAGGAACACCAGUGGCGAAGGCGGCUCACUGGGCUCGGUACUGACGCUGAGACGCGAAAGCGUGGGGAGCAAACAGG